Molecule: ribosomal RNA, 157 nt
Filed under: Burkholderia cenocepacia
Lineage: Bacteria; Pseudomonadati; Pseudomonadota; Betaproteobacteria; Burkholderiales; Burkholderiaceae
Description: partial 23S ribosomal RNA
Rfam family: Bacterial large subunit ribosomal RNA
Source: RNAcentral
UCUAAGCGGGAAACUCGCCUUAAGAUGAGAUAUCCCUGGGGACUAGAUCCCCUUGAAGGGUCGUUCGAGACCAGGACGUUGAUAGGUCAGGUGUGUAAGCGCAGUAAUGCGUUCAGCUAACUGAUACUAAUUGCCCGUAAGGCUUGAUCCUAUAACA